RNAcentral lists this ribosomal RNA (404 nucleotides) under Fusobacteriota bacterium. Its description in RNAcentral is "Fusobacteria bacterium partial 16S ribosomal RNA". It matches the Rfam family "Bacterial small subunit ribosomal RNA", at positions 355 to 776 of the family's 1533-position model. Lineage: Bacteria; Fusobacteriati; Fusobacteriota. The record is from RNAcentral.
UGGGGAAUAUUGCACAAUGGAGGGAACUCUGAUGCAGCGACGCCGCGUGAACGAAGAAGGCUUUCGAGUCGUAAAGUUCUUUUAUAUGGGAAGAUAAUGACGGUACCAUAAGAAAAAGCCCCGGCUAACUACGUGCCAGCAGCCGCGGUAAUACGUAGGGCGCGAGCGUUGUCCGGAAUUAUUGGGCGUAAAGGGCUUGUAGGUGGCUGGUUGCGUCUGUCGUGAAAGCUCAUGGCUUAACUGUGGGUUUGCGGUGGGUACGGGCUGGCUUGAGUGCAGUAGGGGAGGCUGGAAUUCCUGGUGUAGCGGUGGAAUGCGCAGAUAUCAGGAGGAAUACCGGUGGCGAAGGCGGGUCUCUGGGCUGUUACUGACGCUGAGGAGCGAAAGCGUGGGGAGCGAACAGG